Molecule: non-coding RNA, 1321 nt
Organism: Lactuca sativa (garden lettuce)
Lineage: Eukaryota; Viridiplantae; Streptophyta; Magnoliopsida; Asterales; Asteraceae
Source: RefSeq, a predicted model, not a curated record
CAUGAGAGUUAUCCACGAUAACCAAUAAGCUAGCGCCACGUAUACAUUCAACCAUAGAGAAACGGCUGCUUUUCAUUAAUUGCUUUCUUUCCUCGAAGUUUGAAAGGUCAAACUCCCAAUCCAUAAAUUUCCAAAUAAAAAUACUUGAAUAAAGAAUUCCAAGACAGCAGGCUACAAGAAUCCAUACAUCCGUACAAAACCCAAAGGGGGAAAGAUAGCGGACAUUGAUAGGUUGUUGCUUGGAACCUCCGAUUUACAUACAGAAAGGUACUCGUGAACCGUACCGCGGUUACCCGCUUCCUAAUGAUUCAGUUUAAAUAGUUGGUCGGUCAAGUGAGGACACCGUCCCGUGUUCACGGUUCACAAUUUUAUUACUACCCGAAUUGAACUGCCCAUUAACACCCACACCUCCCAAAAACCAUCACCUUUCGCUCCGACAAGAAAACAUCUCUCAAAGUAAGUCUCCAGGUAGUCUUCUCAUCUCCAGGGCCGUUCCAAGUAUAUUUUGGGCCCGGGGCAAAAACAAAAAUGGGUCCUUCGAAAAACAAAUUGAUUCUAGUGCAACCGUAUCAAAUGUUUUCCUUUCUUUUUUGAGAUGGAGAGUUUACGUCUUAUUUAAAAUAUAGAUAAAAUUAAAAAUAGUUUAGAAGUGAAUUAUAUUUUUCGGUUAAAAAAUAAUAAUUAAAUAUAAACAAAAUUUUUUAAAAAUAAACUAUUGUCAAGUUCUAAAACUGGCCAUCUUGAAUAAAACUCAUUUUAUAAAUUUUUGGUGAGUAUGAUUUUUAUCAAAAAUGGAUAAAUAGUUAACUUUUAUUUCAUAAGAAAAUAAAUAGACUUGAUAAUUUAUAAUUAUGUAUGAUAUUAAAAAAUAAUUUAAGUGCGAAAAGUCUAAACUAAUUGUCAUUAAAUAUGUAAACCAACAUUUGGGCCAGCAUAUCAAAGGUUUAAAACAGUUAAUCUAAAUUCAAAAAGCCAACAUUUGGGCCACGUUAACUACAAGAAUUGAACUCAAGACACGUACAAAGACUGAACAGAGACAACGUCUUUUCUAGUUGAUUUGUAUUUAUGUUCGUUUAAAAUGUAACAUUAGUUAUAUAUAACUCUUAACGUCCAUUUUUUUGGGGCCCAAUCCAAUGAUGGGCCAUGGGCCGUCGCCCAGCUUGCCCACCCCCAUGGGUCGGGCCUGCUCAUCUCUCUGGUACUGAUACUUACAUUCCAACAAGAAACGUCUCGAGUUUCGUAUAUACAUACACAUGAAGUCAUCUAUGUGAAGUAAUCAUUAUAUCUUUGUGGAUGCAUGAAUGCCAAUAUCUACUUCUCA